UACAGAGGUCCCGAGCGUUGUUCGGAUUCACUGGGCGUAAAGGGUGCGUAGGUGGCGAGGUAAGUCGGAUGUGAAAGCUCGGAGCUCAACUCCGAAAUGGCAUUGGAAACUACCUUGCUCGAGGGUUGGAGGGGGGACUGGAAUACUUGGUGUAGCAGUGAAAUGCGUAGAUAUCAAGUGGAACACCAGUGGCGAAGGCGAGUCCCUGGACAACUCCUGACACUGAGGCACGAAAGCGUGGGGAGCAAAAGGG
Molecule: ribosomal RNA, 253 nt
Filed under: uncultured bacterium
Lineage: Bacteria
Description: partial 16S ribosomal RNA
Rfam family: Bacterial small subunit ribosomal RNA
Source: RNAcentral